RNAcentral lists this non-coding RNA (45 nucleotides) under Schistosoma margrebowiei. Lineage: Eukaryota; Metazoa; Platyhelminthes; Trematoda; Strigeidida; Schistosomatidae. The record is from RNAcentral.
AUCCAUUUUACUAGUCCUAAAUAGGACGAAACGUGUGUCCUGGAU